Molecule: ribosomal RNA, 838 nt
Filed under: Berkeleyomyces basicola
Lineage: Eukaryota; Fungi; Ascomycota; Sordariomycetes; Microascales; Ceratocystidaceae
Description: partial large subunit ribosomal RNA
Rfam family: Eukaryotic large subunit ribosomal RNA
Source: RNAcentral
AGCGGAGGAAAAGAAACCAACAGGGAUUGCCCUAGUAACGGCGAGCGAAGCGGCAACAGCUCAAAUUUGAAAUCUGGCUAUUUUGUAGUCCGAGUUGUAAUUUGUAGAGGAUGCUUUUGGUGAGGUGCCUUCCGAGUUCCCUGGAACGGGACGCCAGAGAGGGUGAGAGCCCCGUACGGUUGGAUACCAAACCUUUGUAUAGCUCCUUCGACGAGUCGAGUAGUUUGGGAAUGCUGCUCUAAAUGGGAGGUAUAUCUCUUCUAAAGCUAAAUAUAGGCUAGAGACCGAUAGCGCACAAGUAGAGUGAUCGAAAGAUGAAAAGCACUUUGAAAAGAGAGUUAAACAGCACGUGAAAUUGUUGAAAGGGAAGCGCCUAUGACCAGACUUGUUUCUUUCAGUUUUGUUAGUUUUCGGACUGAUUUACUCUGUUAGUACAGGCCAGCAUCAGUUUGUUGUCAGGGAGAAAGGCUUAGGGAAUGUGGCUCUUUCGGGAGUGUUAUAGCCCUUUGCAUAAUACCUUUCGGCAGACUGAGGACCGCGCUUCGGCAAGGAUGCUGGCGUAAUGGUCAUCAGCGACCCGUCUUGAAACACGGACCAAGGAGUCAACCUUAUGUGCGAGUGUUUGGGUGUAAAACCCCAGCGCGUAAUGAACGUGAACGUAGGUGAGAGCUUCGGCGCAUCAUCGACCGAUUCUGAUGUUCUCGGAUGGAUUUGAGUAAGAGCACACAGGGUUGGACCCGAAAGAAGGUGAACUAUGCUUGUAUAGGGUGAAGCCAGAGGAAACUCUGGUGGAGGCUCGCAGCGGUUCUGACGUGCAAAUCGAUCGUCAAAUAUGAGC